UGGCUCAGUGGUAGAGUGCUUGCCUUGCAAGCAUGGGAUCCUGGGUUCAAUUCCUCAG
This 58-nucleotide transfer RNA is filed under the name Dipodomys ordii (Ord's kangaroo rat). It matches the Rfam family "tRNA", at positions 8 to 63 of the family's 71-position model. Rfam says of the family: Transfer RNA (tRNA) molecules are approximately 80 nucleotides in length. Lineage: Eukaryota; Metazoa; Chordata; Mammalia; Rodentia; Heteromyidae. The record is from Rfam by way of RNAcentral.